AGUAAGAAUACGCACAGCGGAGAAUCUGCCCGAGAGCAGAUGACUUCACGGAGCUCCAGGACGCAGUUGGUUGCUCUGACCUGACCCCUGCGGGAGGGGAGCGCCCGAAGUGAGGAUGGAAAGUCCCCGUAACCUCCCUUCUCUCCAGCCCCACACCAUACAGAGACCCUAGUCUGCCCUGAGCUAAGUGCUGUGGAACGGCUGCGGCACUCUCUGGACUUCAUCUGCUGCCCCUGGGUCACAUGUCCCUGUCGCCUUCGGGGAUUUUUGAGAUGAACUCAGCUAGCCUCUUGCUUGUCCCCAGAGAUGCCACGCCAGGAGAAACAGCCCGGCUUCUUUCUCCAAGACUGCUCUGCACUCUGUGGAUGAAGACACCCUCUGUAGGCGUCCCUGGUCCUCCAUACCUGCUUUGUCCGCUAGUGCAGGGGAAACCAAGCCUGGCGGCCCUCCCGGGACUGGAGACACAUUCUCGUAGGUGAGUUCCCCAUCCUCAUAGGCCUCACAGUCUGGAAAGGGAAAAGCUCCAAAGUGAGAGUCUGGAGUGAGGUCUGUGGAGUGGGGGAGGAGAGCAAGCAGGACUUACCCUGUCCUGAAUGGUUAGACGCGUUGUUCUUCAAGGGCACUUUCACAAAGCGCAGGUCUGCAUAGGUGAUGGCGUCAGCCAUAACCCUGGGUACCUCUGCUUCACAGACUUCCAGCUAAUCCACUGGCCCACACCUCCCUGGCUCCUCUCCUCUCUUAGCUAUUGAGUUCUCUGUGUGGUUGUAAGGCUCAGCCCUUUGCGCUGUGACGCCAAAGUCACAAAAGAGGAAGGUCUGUGGGCAGAUGGACUCAAUGAAGCAGAAGAGGUCCUUGGGUUGGAGCCAGAUGACCAGAGAGGGAUGCUGGGGUCCCAAAUACAGACUCUGAAGCUAGCUGAACUCUGUCCAGCCAGAUCCCCCUCCUCAUGCACCCUCGACCCACUUUGCUUAAGGUCCUCAUGCCAGUUCCUCUGUGUUCCCUGCUUGGCCACGCCUUCCUGACUGUCAUUCACUGAGCUCCAUCCAUGUAGAGUUGGGACCCUGGCUCUUACUGACCCAGGACAUCACCCCAAUCAACUUCAUCCAGGAGGGGACCCUUAAUUUGGUAGCUCAGAUAAGGUUCAUAUGCCCCAUUUUGCAUGGAGUGCUCCUGAGGUAAACCUGACUCCUCCCCUCCUGCUUACAGAGCUGUCACCCUGAAGCCAUCCCUGGGAAUCUGACAGCUUUUAGGAGGAUGCAAGGGAGACAGGGAACAAACUGGUUUUCCUCUGUGAGCAUCCCAGGCUCCCCACUUCAUAGCUUUUCCCUGCUGUCUACCUGACCAUGCCUGUGAGAAGCUGUACCCUCCCUCUCAUCCAUCUUUCCCUUGAUAUCCUGCGGUGUCCUCUGUGCUCCCACAUCAGAGCCAUAUCAGGAAUCAGUGUCUACUUGGAGCCGCUCUGGGCUGGGCUACAGGACUAGCCUGGAGCAACAGUGGUUCUCACACACCCUUCUAGAGAGGGAAGCAAAGAAACAACGAGUGUGAAAUUCAGUACAGGAUAUGGUGAGCUGGAGAGCUGGCUCAGUGGUUCAGAGCACUGACUGGAGUUCCAGCAGCCACAUGGCCAUUCUCGGCCAUCUGUACCAGGCAUGGACAUGGUGCACAGACAUACAUACAGGCACAACACAUGCACACACAAAAUAAAACCUAAAAAGACAAGAAGGGCUGGCUAUGGUUUCCUGGGUAGCAGUGAGGCUGAGAAACUCCCCCUUGUUCUUACUCAUUUCUUCCCAUAGAAGGUGCUGGGAGCUGAAGGUGUAGCCCAGUGGUCUGGUGAAAGUACGAUGAUCUGACCUCACUUCCCAGCACACACAGACACACGUGCAGUCCAAACAUUCUCCCAUCAUGCUCGUCCCCCCAAAAAAUGAACACUUGGGCCAAGUGGGGUGGUGCACACCGUUUAUCUCAGCAAUCAGGAGUCAGAGGCAGGCACAGCAAAUCCCUGUGAGUCAGAGGCCAGCCUGGUCUACACCAUGAGUACUAUGCUGACCAGGGUUGUGUGGUGAGACUAUGCUUCACAGAGAGAAAGAGAAGGAGAGAGAGAAAGAGAAAGAGAGAGAGAGAGAGGAAGAGAGAGAGAGAGAGGAUACAUUUGUAGAGGAGACCACAAGCCUAAGUUGUUGUAGUGAAGAGAAGAAGAGGACCUCCUUGAUGGAGGAGGGAGACAGUGGCAGAAGGAAGCCUGCUGAGCUGAGUGCCCAGAGGUGCUCUCUAAUGGUCUUUUACCACAAUGUAGCCUCUUAUAAGAAUCCCAAAAGGCCCUCACGCCUUGAGGGUUGGAAUGAGCUGAAGCUGGAUGAGAUAUGGACAUGAGAACUGCCCCUCCCUGAGGCCACAUCCGCUCCCCCUCCAUCAGCUGUCUGACAGCUGUGGGGAGGAAGAAAGAAAGGUAAAGUUCCUCACCACAAGCUGGAUCACUCACGUGGCUGGGGGUGUUGGGCUGGGCAGGGGAUGUUACUGUUAGGGGAUGUGAGGAGAGCCCUUCUGCUGUGACAUAGUCGAGUCUGCCCCAGAGAGAGUAGCCCCUGAAGCUGGAGAGCAAACACAUGUUACCAGAUGAAGUGUCUGAGGAGAGGCGGGUGUGUACACACAUUUGUGUGUGUGCUUGCGUGUGUACAGCCUUCUUGGGUGUCUGGGGGGAGUGAGUGCCGGUGUGAAAGUGCCCCUGGGAAACACAACAGAUCCUGCAGAUCCUGAGGGCUGAGGCUGUCGUCUUUUGCCAUAGCAGUGAAUGAUGUGACAUUAUCAGAAAAGUCAUCGUAGGUCAAGACAACAGGUUUUACAAAUUAUUUCCUUUUGGUGGUUCAUUAGUUUCCUAAGGCUUCUCUGCAGCUGUUAACGGUCCCUGCUUGAUUAAAGUUUCCAACAGCCCGGGGCCUUCCUCCAGGCACUGUGGCAGGGCCUCCCCCAGAGACUAGGCAGUGGACUAGUGACUCCCUGGGGGCCUGUAGAGGGUGUGAGAAUGAGUAGGAGGGCACAGAGCAGCUGGUGUGGAGGAUGGGUGGGCACAGUUGGGGCAUAGCAUCUGUGGUACACAGGGUGUGGGAGCGAGCAGAGCGUGAGUGGCUGUAAAGAGGCUGGUGGGGAUUCCACGGACUAGAGACAAAGUCUCAGAUCUCAGAACCCCAGUAUAUGGAUGUAAGCCGAGGUUCGGUUGUACACUGGAAAACAGCAUCUAUGAGAGUCUUAAGAAAGUGGCCCCUAGAUGGAGCUGAGCUGAGAGGCCCAGCA
Non-coding RNA from Rattus norvegicus (Norway rat), 3291 nucleotides. Lineage: Eukaryota; Metazoa; Chordata; Mammalia; Rodentia; Muridae. The record is from RefSeq and is a predicted model, not a curated record.